UUUUUCUCCGUUGGUGAACCAGCGGAAGGGAUCAUUA
Molecule: ribosomal RNA, 37 nt
Filed under: Sarocladium implicatum
Lineage: Eukaryota; Fungi; Ascomycota; Sordariomycetes; Hypocreales; Sarocladiaceae
Description: partial 18S ribosomal RNA
Source: RNAcentral